CGUGCAUAUCAAUAAGCGGAACAAAAGGGGCCGCUGCCAUAUCAAUAAGCUGUGUAGCAUACCGCGUGCGCGCGAGUUGUAAUUUGAAGGAGGUAGGCUACGCGCGGCAACGGCCCAAGUCCAUUGGAACAUGGCGCCAGGGAGGGUGAGAGCCCCGUCCGGCCACGCGCCGCGUCCGCAGUCUGCCCCCGACGAGUCGAGUUGUUUGGGAAUGCAGCUCAAAGUGGGUGGUAAAUUCCAUCUAAAGCUAAAUAUUGGCGAGAGACCGAUAGCGAACAAGUACAGUGAUGGAAAGAUGAAAAGCACUUUGAAAAGAGAGUGAAACAGUACGUGAAAUUGUUGAAAGGGAAGGGCUUGCAAGCAGACACGGCUUUUGCCGGGCCAGCAUCGGUUUGGGGAGGCGGACAACCGCGGGAGCAUGUGGCGCACCUCGGUGCGUGUUAUAGCUCCCGUCCAUACGCCUUCCCCAGUCCGAGGCCUGCGUUCUAAACUAGGAUGCUGGCGUAAUGGUUGCAAGCC
This 519-nucleotide ribosomal RNA is filed under the name Danielia oregonensis. RNAcentral describes it as "eukaryotic LSU rRNA". It matches the Rfam family "Eukaryotic large subunit ribosomal RNA", at positions 35 to 646 of the family's 3401-position model. The record is from RNAcentral. Lineage: Eukaryota; Fungi; Ascomycota; Pichiomycetes; Serinales; Metschnikowiaceae.